GUAUGUUUUAUUGUCACUUGCUUAUGACCUUAGAUAUGUUAUUCAUGUUAUUUGUGCAGGUUUAUUGACACUUGCUUGAGUUAUUUUAUUGCUGUUUGUUUAAUUUUCUGUUUUUGUUUUACACAUUUUACUUGAUGGUGUUAUCUCAGUGAAAGAUGAAAUAUUAAAACACAAGUGCCUUAUUUGUUAUACCAAUUGUAAUGUUUUGUCUUUUUGAAAAUGAUAUUCUCAAAUGUAUAUAACUUAAAUUAAGAAGUGUUGAAAUUAAG
Molecule: long non-coding RNA, 269 nt
Filed under: Mytilus galloprovincialis (Mediterranean mussel)
Lineage: Eukaryota; Metazoa; Mollusca; Bivalvia; Mytilida; Mytilidae
Source: RNAcentral